AUGAUCACCCCUAAUUCUAGAACUUUUCAGAAUCUCAGUUACUGGGUCCUACAGUGGGACAACAGGGUGACCUGGAAGUCUGAUUACUUUCUUAUUAUCAUCCAACUAUUGGAUGCUUAUCCAAAAUACCUCAUCAUGGGAGUAUAAAAUGUGGGCUUCAAGCAGACACAGGAGAUCUACCUGUCCCUCAAAGGGAAGGCUGUAAAUCUGAUGGACAAGAACACCAUGAUGUAUAGGGCCAUCCCAGGGCAUCUGGAAAACAGCUCAGCUCUGGAGAAACUGUUGCCAGAUAGUUGCCACAUAUCCAGGGAAUGUGGGCUUUGUGGUCAUCAAGGAGGAUGUCACUGAGAUCAUGGACAUGCUGCUGGCCAAUAAUGUGCCAGCUGCCAUCUGUGCUGGUGCCAUUGCUACAUGUGAUGUCACUGUGCCAGCCAGAACGCUGGUCUGGAGCCUGAGAAGACCUUCUUCUUCCAGGCUUUGGGCAUCAUCAUACAAACCUCCAGGGGCUCCAUUGAAAUUCUGAGCGAUGGUGAUGGGCAGUUGGUUAAGACUGGACAGAAAGUAGGAGCCAGAGAAGCUACACCGCUGAACAUGCUGGACCUCUCCCCCUGCUCCUUCAGGCUGCUCAUCCAACAGGAUUUUGUCACCAGCAGCACGCACAGCCCUGAAGUGCUUGACAUCAUGGGGGAAACCUACACUCUUACUUCCUGGAGAGUGUCUUCUGUGUUGCUGGUGUUUGUCUGCAGUUGGUUACCCAACUGCUGCACCAGUUCCCUGCCCUACCAUCAAUGAGUACAAAUGAGUCCUGACUUUGUCAGGAGGGACUGAUUACACCUUCGCACUUGCUGAAAAGGUCAAGGCCUUUUUGGCUGAUCCAUCUGGGUUUGUGUCUGCUGCCACCGCUGCUGCUGCUCCUGCUGCUGCCAUAGCUGCAGCCAAGAUUGAAGCUGGAGAAGAGUCAGAGGAGUCAGAUGAGGAUAUGGGACUUAGUCUCUUUGACUAAUCACCAAAAUGCAACCAAAUUCAGCCAGUUUUAUUUGCAAAACAUGGAAAUAAAGGCUUACUUACCUUAAAAAAAAAA
This is an RNA transcript of Nycticebus coucang (slow loris), 1081 nucleotides long. It is a transcript of the gene named 60S acidic ribosomal protein P0-like, with no coding region annotated. The transcript has 3 exons. Lineage: Eukaryota; Metazoa; Chordata; Mammalia; Primates; Lorisidae. The record is from RefSeq and is a predicted model, not a curated record.